RNAcentral lists this ribosomal RNA (274 nucleotides) under uncultured bacterium. Its description in RNAcentral is "partial 16S ribosomal RNA". It matches the Rfam family "Bacterial small subunit ribosomal RNA", at positions 523 to 796 of the family's 1533-position model. The record is from RNAcentral.
AUACAGAGGGAGCAAGCGUUGUUCGGAAUUACUGGGCGUAAAGGGCGCGUAGGCGGUUCAGCAAGUCUUGUGUGAAAUCCCCCGGCUCAACUGGGGAACUGCAUAGGAAACUGCUGGACUUGAGUUCGGGAGAGGGAAGCGGAAUUCCGGGUGUAGCGGUGAAAUGCGUAGAUAUCCGGAGGAACACCGGUGGCGAAGGCGGCUUCCUGGACCGAUACUGACGCUGAGGCGCGAAAGCUAGGGUAGCAAACGGGAUUAGAAACCCCAGUAGUCC